UGGCCUACGGGGGGCAGCAGUGGGGAAUAUUGGGCAAUGGGCGAAAGCCUGACCCAGCAACGCCGCGUGAAGGAAGAAGGCUUUCGGGUUGUAAACUUCUUUUGUCAGGGACGAAGCAAGUGACGGUACCUGACGAAUAAGCCACGGCUAACUACGUGCCAGCAGCCGCGGUAAUACGUAGGUGGCAAGCGUUAUCCGGAUUUACUGGGUGUAAAGGGCGUGUAGGCGGGACUGCAAGUCAGAUGUGAAAACUCAGGGCUCAACCCUGAGCCUGCAUUUGAAACUGUAGUUCUUGAGUACUGGAG
This 305-nucleotide ribosomal RNA is filed under the name uncultured bacterium. Its description in RNAcentral is "bacterial SSU rRNA". It matches the Rfam family "Bacterial small subunit ribosomal RNA", at positions 335 to 654 of the family's 1533-position model. The record is from RNAcentral.